GCCCGGAUGGUCUAGAGGUAUGAUUCUCGCUUUGGGUUCCCACCUUAGCAUGCGAGAGGUCCCCGGUUCGAUCCCGGGUUCGGGCC
Non-coding RNA from Diatrype stigma, 86 nucleotides. The record is from the annotation of a GenBank genome assembly. NCBI's taxonomy places the organism in Eukaryota, Fungi, Ascomycota, Sordariomycetes, Xylariales, Diatrypaceae.